GAUGAACGCUGGCGGCGUGCUUAACACAUGCAAGUCGAACGAAACACCUUAUUUGAUUUUCUUCGGAACUGAAGAUUUGGUGAUUGAGUGGCGGACGGGUGAGUAACGCGUGGGUAACCUGCCCUGUACAGGGGGAUAACAGUCAGAAAUGACUGCUAAUACCGCAUAAGACCACAGCACCGCAUGGUGCAGGGGUAAAAACUCCGGUGGUACAGGAUGGACCCGCGUCUGAUUAGCUGGUUGGUGAGGAAACGGCUCACCAAGGCGACGAUCAGUAGCCGGCUUGAGAGAGUGAACGGCCACAUUGGGACUGAGACACGGCCCAAACUCCUACGGGAGGCAGCAGUGGGGAAUAUUGCACAAUGGGGGAAACCCUGAUGCAGCGACGCCGCGUGAGUGAAGAAGUAUUUCGGUAUGUAAAGCUCUAUCAGCAGGGAAGAAAAUGACGGUACCUGACUAAGAAGCCCCGGCUAACUACGUG
RNAcentral lists this ribosomal RNA (481 nucleotides) under uncultured bacterium. RNAcentral's name for it is "partial 16S ribosomal RNA". It matches the Rfam family "Bacterial small subunit ribosomal RNA", at positions 28 to 507 of the family's 1533-position model. The record is from RNAcentral.